RNAcentral lists this ribosomal RNA (497 nucleotides) under uncultured bacterium. RNAcentral's name for it is "partial 16S ribosomal RNA". It matches the Rfam family "Bacterial small subunit ribosomal RNA", at positions 28 to 507 of the family's 1533-position model. The record is from RNAcentral.
GAUGAACGCUGGCGGCGUGCCUAAUACAUGCAAGUCGAGCGAACAGAUGAGGAGCUUGCUCCUCUGACGUUAGCGGCUGACGGGUGAGUAACACGUGGAUAACCUACCUAUAAGACUUGGAUAACUUCGGGAAACCGGAGCUAAUACCGGAUAAUAUAUUGAACCGCAUGGUUCAAUAGUGAAAGACGGUUUUGCUGUCACUUAUAGAUGGAUCCGCGCCGCAUUAGCUAGUUGGUAAGGUAACGGCUUACCAAGGCAACGAUGCGUAGCCGACCUGAGAGGGUGAUCGGACACACGGGAACUGAGACACGGACAAGAGGACGACGGGAGGAAGCAGAAGGGAAUAUUCCGCAAUGGGCGAAAGCAUGACGGAGCAACGCCGAGUGAGUGAAGAAGGUCUGCGGAUCGUAAAACUCUGUUAUUAGGGAAGAACAAAUGUGUAAGUAACUAUGCACGUCUUGACGGUACCUAAUCAGAAAGCCACGGCUAACUACGUG